This 6205-nucleotide long non-coding RNA is filed under the name Panax ginseng (ginseng). RNAcentral describes it as "long non-coding RNA (PGIN_LNC006426)". Lineage: Eukaryota; Viridiplantae; Streptophyta; Magnoliopsida; Apiales; Araliaceae. The record is from RNAcentral.
UCUCACUUUCUCACCCAAAGAAAACAUUAACUAAAAUAUAAAACAUGUAUGAUCAUGAUUCAAAGUCACACUAGUAGCCUAGGUAUCAAAAUAUCUUUUUGACCAUUACUCUAGCUAGGAGUUUUCAAAAACGUACGGUACUUAAACGGAUAGUCUUACCUGACUGUUUUAAAUUUAAUAAGUGGACCCAAUUAUGUACUAUCUCAUUUUUUCACCCAAACAAAACAUUAAAUAAAAUAUAAGACAUGUAUGAUCAUGAUUCAAAGUCACACUAGUAAACUAAGUAUCAAAAUAUCUUUUUGACCAUUACUCUAGCUAGGAGUUUUCAAACACGUACGGUACUUAAACGGAUAGUCUUACCUGACUGUUUUAAAUUGAAUAAGUGGUCCCAAUUCUGUACUAUCUCAUUUUUUCACCCAAACAAAACAUUAAAUAAAAUAUAAGACAUGUAUGAUCAUGAUUCAAAGUCACACUAGUAAACUAAGUAUCAAAAUAUCUUUUUGACCAUUACUCUAGCUAGGAGUUUUCAAACACGUACGGUACUUAAACGGAUAGUCUUACCUGACUGUUUUAAAUUGAAUAAGUGGUCCCAAUUCUGUACUAUCUCAUUUUUUCACCCAAACAAAACAUUAAAUAAAAUAUAAGACAUGUAUGAUCAUGAUUCAAAGUCACACUAGUAAACUAAGUAUCAAAAUAUCUUUUUGACCAUUACUCUAGCUAGGAGUUUUCAAACACGUACGGUACUUAAACGGAUAGUCUUACCUGACUGUUUUAAAUUGAAUAAGUGGUCCCAAUUCUGUACUAUCUCAUUUUUUCACCCAAACAAAACAUUAAAUAAAAUAUAAGACAUGUAUGAUCAUGAUUCAAAGUCACACUAGUAAACUAAGUAUCAAAAUAUCUUUUUGACCAUUACUCUAGCUAGGAGUUUUCAAACACGUACGGUACUUAAACGGAUAGUCUUACCUGACUGUUUUAAAUUGAAUAAGUGGUCCCAAUUCUGUACUAUCUCAUUUUUUCACCCAAACAAAACAUUAAAUAAAAUAUAAGACAUGUAUGAUCAUGAUUCAAAGUCACACUAGUAAACUAAGUAUCAAAAUAUCUUUUUGACCAUUACUCUAGCUAGGAGUUUUCAAACACGUACGGUACUUAAACGGAUAGUCUUACCUGACUGUUUUAAAUUGAAUAAGUGGUCCCAAUUCUGUACUAUCUCAUUUUUUCACCCAAACAAAACAUUAAAUAAAAUAUAAGACAUGUAUGAUCAUGAUUCAAAGUCACACUAGUAAACUAAGUAUCAAAAUAUCUUUUUGACCAUUACUCUAGCUAGGAGUUUUCAAACACGUACGGUACUUAAACGGAUAGUCUUACCUGACUGUUUUAAAUUGAAUAAGUGGUCCCAAUUCUGUACUAUCUCAUUUUUUCACCCAAACAAAACAUUAAAUAAAAUAUAAGACAUGUAUGAUCAUGAUUCAAAGUCACACUAGUAAACUAAGUAUCAAAAUAUCUUUUUGACCAUUACUCUAGCUAGGAGUUUUCAAACACGUACGGUACUUAAACGGAUAGUCUUACCUGACUGUUUUAAAUUGAAUAAGUGGUCCCAAUUCUGUACUAUCUCAUUUUUUCACCCAAACAAAACAUUAAAUAAAAUAUAAGACAUGUAUGAUCAUGAUUCAAAGUCACACUAGUAAACUAAGUAUCAAAAUAUCUUUUUGACCAUUACUCUAGCUAGGAGUUUUCAAACACGUACGGUACUUAAACGGAUAGUCUUACCUGACUGUUUUAAAUUGAAUAAGUGGUCCCAAUUAUGUACUAUCUCACUUUCUCACCCAAAGAAAACAUUAACUAAAAUUUAAAACAUUUAUGAUCAUGGUUCAAAGUCACACUAGUAGCCUAGGUAUCAAAAUAUCUUUUUGAUCAUUACUCUAGUUAGGAAUUUUCAAAAACGGUCGGUACUUAAACGAAUAGUAUUACCUGACUGUUUUAAAUUGAUAAAGAGAACCCAAUUAUGUACUAUCUCACUUUCUCACCAAACAAACAUUAAGUAAAAUAUAAAACAUGUAUGAUCAUGGUUCAAAGUUACACUAGUAGCCUUGGUUUCAAAAUAUCUUUUUGACCAUUACUCUAGUUAGGAGUUUUCAAAAAUGGACGGUACUUAAACGAAUACUCUUACCAGACUGUUUUAAAUUGAAUAAUUGGACCCAAUUAUGUACUAUCUCAUUUUUUCACCCAAACAAAACAUUAACUAAAAUUUAAAACAUUUAUGAUCAUGGUUCAAAGUCACACUAGUAGCCUAGGUAUCAAAAUAUCUUUUUGAUCAUUACUCUAGUUAGGAAUUUUCAAAAACGGACGGUACUUAAACGAAUAGUAUUACCUGACUGUUUUAAAUUGAUAAAGAGAACCCAAUUAUGUACUAUCUCACUUUCUCACCAAACAAAACAUUAAGUAAAAUAUAAAACAUGUAUGAUCAUGGUUCAAAGUUACACUAGUAGGCUAGGUUUCAAAAUAUCUUUUUGACCAUUACUCUAGUUAGGAGUUUUCAAAAAUGGACGGUACUUAAACGAAUAGUCUUACCUGACUGUUUUAAAUUGAAUAAGUGGACCCAAUUAUGUACUAUCUUACUUUCUCACCCAAACAAAACAUUAACUAAAAUAUAAACAUGUAUGAUCAUGGUUCAAAGUCACACUAGUAGCCUAGGUAUCAAAAUAUCUUUUUGAUCAUUACUCUAGUUAGGAAUUUUCAAAAACGGACGGUACUUAAACGAAUAGUCUUACCAGACUGUUUUAAAUUGAAUAAGUGGACCCAAUUAUGUACUAUCUUACUUUCUCACCCAAACAAAACAUUAACUAAAAUAUAAACAUGUAUGAUCAUGGUUCAAAGUCACACUAGUAGCCUAGGUAUCAAAAUAUCUUUUUGAUCAUUACUCUAGUUAGGAAUUUUCAAAAACGGACGGUACUUAAACGAAUAGUCUUACCAGACUGUUUUAAAUUGAAUAAGUGGACCCAAUUAUGUACUAUCUUACUUUCUCACCCAAACAAAACAUUAACUAAAAUAUAAACAUGUAUGAUCAUGGUUCAAAGUCACACUAGUAGCCUAGGUAUCAAAAUAUCUUUUUGAUCAUUACUCUAGUUAGGAAUUUUCAAAAACGGACGGUACUUAAACGAAUAGUCUUACCAGACUGUUUUAAAUUGAAUAAGUGGACCCAAUUAUGUACUAUCUUACUUUCUCACCCAAACAAAACAUUAACUAAAAUAUAAACAUGUAUGAUCAUGGUUCAAAGUCACACUAGUAGCCUAGGUAUCAAAAUAUCUUUUUGAUCAUUACUCUAGUUAGGAAUUUUCAAAAACGGACGGUACUUAAACGAAUAGUCUUACCAGACUGUUUUAAAUUGAAUAAGUGGACCCAAUUAUGUACUAUCUUACUUUCUCACCCAAACAAAACAUUAACUAAAAUAUAAACAUGUAUGAUCAUGGUUCAAAGUCACACUAGUAGCCUAGGUAUCAAAAUAUCUUUUUGAUCAUUACUCUAGUUAGGAAUUUUCAAAAACGGACGGUACUUAAACGAAUAGUCUUACCAGACUGUUUUAAAUUGAAUAAGUGGACCCAAUUAUGUACUAUCUUACUUUCUCACCCAAACAAAACAUUAACUAAAAUAUAAACAUGUAUGAUCAUGGUUCAAAGUCACACUAGUAGCCUAGGUAUCAAAAUAUCUUUUUGAUCAUUACUCUAGUUAGGAAUUUUCAAAAACGGACGGUACUUAAACGAAUAGUCUUACCAGACUGUUUUAAAUUGAAUAAGUGGACCCAAUUAUGUACUAUCUUACUUUCUCACCCAAACAAAACAUUAACUAAAAUAUAAACAUGUAUGAUCAUGGUUCAAAGUCACACUAGUAGCCUAGGUAUCAAAAUAUCUUUUUGAUCAUUACUCUAGUUAGGAAUUUUCAAAAACGGACGGUACUUAAACGAAUAGUCUUACCAGACUGUUUUAAAUUGAAUAAGUGGACCCAAUUAUGUACUAUCUUACUUUCUCACCCAAACAAAACAUUAACUAAAAUAUAAACAUGUAUGAUCAUGGUUCAAAGUCACACUAGUAGCCUAGGUAUCAAAAUAUCUUUUUGAUCAUUACUCUAGUUAGGAAUUUUCAAAAACGGACGGUACUUAAACGAAUAGUCUUACCAGACUGUUUUAAAUUGAAUAAGUGGACCCAAUUAUGUACUAUCUUACUUUCUCACCCAAACAAAACAUUAACUAAAAUAUAAACAUGUAUGAUCAUGGUUCAAAGUCACACUAGUAGCCUAGGUAUCAAAAUAUCUUUUUGAUCAUUACUCUAGUUAGGAAUUUUCAAAAACGGACGGUACUUAAACGAAUAGUCUUACCAGACUGUUUUAAAUUGAAUAAGUGGACCCAAUUAUGUACUAUCUUACUUUCUCACCCAAACAAAACAUUAACUAAAAUAUAAACAUGUAUGAUCAUGGUUCAAAGUCACACUAGUAGCCUAGGUAUCAAAAUAUCUUUUUGAUCAUUACUCUAGUUAGGAAUUUUCAAAAACGGACGGUACUUAAACGAAUAGUCUUACCAGACUGUUUUAAAUUGAAUAAGUGGACCCAAUUAUGUACUAUCUUACUUUCUCACCCAAACAAAACAUUAACUAAAAUAUAAACAUGUAUGAUCAUGGUUCAAAGUCACACUAGUAGCCUAGGUAUCAAAAUAUCUUUUUGAUCAUUACUCUAGUUAGGAAUUUUCAAAAACGGACGGUACUUAAACGAAUAGUCUUACCAGACUGUUUUAAAUUGAAUAAGUGGACCCAAUUAUGUACUAUCUUACUUUCUCACCCAAACAAAACAUUAACUAAAAUAUAAACAUGUAUGAUCAUGGUUCAAAGUCACACUAGUAGCCUAGGUAUCAAAAUAUCUUUUUGAUCAUUACUCUAGUUAGGAAUUUUCAAAAACGGACGGUACUUAAACGAAUAGUCUUACCAGACUGUUUUAAAUUGAAUAAGUGGACCCAAUUAUGUACUAUCUUACUUUCUCACCCAAACAAAACAUUAACUAAAAUAUAAACAUGUAUGAUCAUGGUUCAAAGUCACACUAGUAGCCUAGGUAUCAAAAUAUCUUUUUGAUCAUUACUCUAGUUAGGAAUUUUCAAAAACGGACGGUACUUAAACGAAUAGUCUUACCAGACUGUUUUAAAUUGAAUAAGUGGACCCAAUUAUGUACUAUCUUACUUUCUCACCCAAACAAAACAUUAACUAAAAUAUAAACAUGUAUGAUCAUGGUUCAAAGUCACACUAGUAGCCUAGGUAUCAAAAUAUCUUUUUGAUCAUUACUCUAGUUAGGAAUUUUCAAAAACGGACGGUACUUAAACGAAUAGUCUUACCAGACUGUUUUAAAUUGAAUAAGUGGACCCAAUUAUGUACUAUCUUACUUUCUCACCCAAACAAAACAUUAACUAAAAUAUAAACAUGUAUGAUCAUGGUUCAAAGUCACACUAGUAGCCUAGGUAUCAAAAUAUCUUUUUGAUCAUUACUCUAGUUAGGAAUUUUCAAAAACGGACGGUACUUAAACGAAUAGUCUUACCAGACUGUUUUAAAUUGAAUAAGUGGACCCAAUUAUGUACUAUCUUACUUUCUCACCCAAACAAAACAUUAACUAAAAUAUAAACAUGUAUGAUCAUGGUUCAAAGUCACACUAGUAGCCUAGGUAUCAAAAUAUCUUUUUGAUCAUUACUCUAGUUAGGAGUUUUCAAAAAUGGACGGUACUUAAACGAAUAUUCUUACCUAACUGUUUUAAAUUGAAUAAGUGGUCCCAAUUAUGUACUAUCACAUUUUCUCACCCAAACAAAACAUUAAAUAAAAUAUAAAACAUGUAUGAUCAUGGUUCAAAGUCACACUAGUAGCCUAGGUAUCAAAAUAUUUUUUUGACCAUUACUCUAGUUAGGAGUUUUCAAAAACGGACGGUACUUAAACGAAUAGUCUUACCUGACUGUUUUAAAUUGAAUAAGUGGACCCAAUUAUGUACUAUCUCACUUUCUCACCCAAACAAAAUAUUAACUAAAAUAUAAAACAUGUAUGAUCAUGGUUCAAAGUCACAUUAGUAGCCUAGGUAUCAAAAUAUCUUUUUGACCAUUACUCUAGUUAGGAGUUUUCAAAAACGGACGGUACUUAAAUGAAUAGUCUUACCUGACUAUUUUAAAUUGAAUAAAUGGACCCAAUUA